RNAcentral lists this transfer RNA (73 nucleotides) under Caldithrix sp. Its description in RNAcentral is "tRNA-Phe". It matches the Rfam family "tRNA". Rfam says of the family: Transfer RNA (tRNA) molecules are approximately 80 nucleotides in length. Their secondary structure includes four short double-helical elements and three loops (D, anti-codon, and T loops). The record is from RNAcentral. Lineage: Bacteria; Pseudomonadati; Calditrichota; Calditrichia; Calditrichales; Calditrichaceae.
GGCCAGGUAGCUCAGUCGGUAGAGCAACGGACUGAAAAUCCGUGUGUCCCCAGUUCAAUUCUGGGCCUGGCCA